RNAcentral lists this ribosomal RNA (554 nucleotides) under uncultured bacterium. RNAcentral's name for it is "partial 16S ribosomal RNA". It matches the Rfam family "Bacterial small subunit ribosomal RNA", at positions 355 to 900 of the family's 1533-position model. The record is from RNAcentral.
UAGGGAACCUUCCACAAUGGACGCAAGUCUGAUGGAGCAACGCCGCGUGAGUGAAGAAGGUUUUCGGACCGUAAAGCUCUGUUGUUGGUGAAGAAGGAUAGAGGUAGUAACUGGCCUUUAUUUGACGGUAAUCAACCAGAAAGUCACGGCUAACUACGUGCCAGCAGCCGCGGUAAUACGUAGGUGGCAAGCGUUGUCCGGAUUUAUUGGGCGUAAAGCGAGCGCAGGCGGAAGAAUAAGUCUGAUGUGAAAGCCCUCGGCUUAACCGAGGAAUUGCAUCGGAAACUGUUUUCUUGAGUGCAGAAGAGGAGAGUAGAACUCCAUGUGUAGCGGUGGAAUGCGUAGAUAUAUGGAAGAAUACCAGUGGCGAAGGCGGCUCUCUGGUCUGCAACUGACGCUGAGGCUCGAAAGCAUGGGUAGCGAACAGGAUUAGAUACCCUGGUAGUCCAUGCCGUAAACGAUGAGUGCUAAGUGUUGGGAGGCUUCCGCCUCUCAGUGCUGCAGCUAACGCAUUAAGCACUCCGCCUGGGGGAGUACGACCGCAAGGUUGAAAC